RNAcentral lists this long non-coding RNA (615 nucleotides) under Theobroma cacao (cacao). RNAcentral's name for it is "long non-coding RNA (TCAC_LNC001031)". Lineage: Eukaryota; Viridiplantae; Streptophyta; Magnoliopsida; Malvales; Malvaceae. The record is from RNAcentral.
CCGAAACUCCCAUCAAGCCCGUGACAACCACCGCGACGUCCCGAUAGGCACUCAUUACCCCGAAUGCCGAUCGAAACCUCGCAAGGCUUAGCAUCAGUUUCUGCAUCUCCCCAGUGAGCGACAAUUAUUAAAUCUCACAUUUAAAAAAAAAUCAUAAGUCAUUUCCAAAUCAAAACAAUAAAAUAUUACUUUCUGGCUCACAAGGGCAUUUUCGUUAUUUUUCUUUGAAAAUACCGAAACUCGCCAAAAACAUAGUGUAAAAGCUAAAUAUAUUCAUACAUACUUUAAAUCAAAUAACUGAAGAAUAAAAUUACUUUUACAGUGACACGUGGGCCCUCAACUGACUAAGAAGAUGUAGGGCUACGAACCCUUACUUUCUAAGAUGCAACUCCGAGAUUAAUUCUCGUCUUAAUCAACUAUUAACAAACUGUCCUAAGCCUGAAAAAUGGAUAGGAAGAGGGGUGAGAUUAUGAUUACAUAAUCCCAAUGAGUAAACAAUUACCAUCAAAAGCAUCUAAAGCCGAGUAGAUGGAGACAAUAUAAAAACGUUAUAUCUCAAUAAUGUUCAUAACACAAAUUUCGUUUCAAUCUAUACCAAACAAUUUAUUUUCAUCA